CAUUCAGACACACACAUACACUUACACACACACACAUUCAGACACACACAUACACUUACACACACACACAUUCAGACACACACAUACACUUACAGACACACAAAUUAUUAAUAUUAAAUGUCCACCGAACCUCCCUACCUGGAGAGCUGGCGUGGAUCUGUCCCUGGGGUCCAGUGGGACUUCAUUUAGGCGGGCGGCAGAGUUCCUGUCAGACGUGGCAAGGGAACUGUGUUCUCUCUGCUCUGCUCACUCGUGGGCUGUCUACAAAUGCCGCGAGCCGAAUAUGAUGUCAUAUUCCGGCUCCUGGGAUUAGCAAACGGCGAGGGAGCAGAGCAGAGAGAACACAGCUCCCUCGCGGCCUCUGACAGGAACUCUGCCACCUGAUGGGGGGGGGGGUCCAUUAGGUGGCCAACAGGCCACCUCUUGGGCCCCCCUAUGACAGAGGGAACACAGUGGGGGCAGCAUCUAGGCGGCCCACAGUCGCAGGGGUCGUGGCUGCAGCCGGGCCCCCUGCAGUGAAGGGCCCAGUCGCAGCUGUGACCGUGGUAGGUACGCCACUGGAUCUGUGUAAAUUUUGACAGGGACACAAAGGUCUUAGGAAUACAAGUUUGUACUGUUAGUGUUCCUUUAAGCACCAUAGCUGCCUAAUUCUGCUGAACUAGUUAUGGUGCAAAGACUUUGCCCUUCUAGCGCUGCUGAAGCCCUCUCUGCAUGGUCCUAGUUCUCCCUGCACCGCUCAAGCAUGUCUAACAACCUCUCACUGGUGUCUUCAGAUGCAGAACACCAAGAAACAAAAGUUGGACUUUGGAAAAUCGAGAAUUUCUCGCCCAACUUGGGACAGUUGG
Non-coding RNA from Pelobates cultripes (western spadefoot toad), 845 nucleotides. NCBI's taxonomy places the organism in Eukaryota, Metazoa, Chordata, Amphibia, Anura, Pelobatidae. The record is from the annotation of a GenBank genome assembly.